This 2534-nucleotide long non-coding RNA is filed under the name Sus scrofa (pig). RNAcentral describes it as "lncRNA (ENSSSCG00035079389.1)". Lineage: Eukaryota; Metazoa; Chordata; Mammalia; Artiodactyla; Suidae. The record is from RNAcentral.
UUUUUUCUUUUCUUUUUUUUUUCUUUCGAGGGCUGCAACUGCGGCUUAUGGAAGUUUCCAGGCUAGGGGUUGAAUCCGAGCUGUAGCUUCCGGUUUACACCACAGCCACAGCAAUGCAGGCUCUGAGCCCUGUCUGUGAUCUACACCACAGCUCACAGCAACGCCAGAUCCUUAACCCACUGAACGAGCCCAGGAAGCAAACCUGCCUCCUCAUGGUUACCAGUUGGGAUCAUUACCCCUGAGCCCCAACAGGAACCUCCAUCCCCGCUCUCUGAAGGAGCAGACUGAGGGAGGCUCUGAGGUCAUUGAUGGCUGGCCCGAGGUGUUAAAUAACUUCUUCGAAUACUUCAUACUUUGCCUCCUGCCUGCUAGUGGAAGAGUUCCAAUCUUCCCAUCAGCUUCUUGUUCUUUUAUGAAAUUUUUUUUUUCCUGUGGGAAAAAAGGCCAAAACUCUGCCUAUGAGGCAUGGCUGAAACCACAGAUGAACAGGAAAAAUCAAAAUGGCUUUGCGUUGGCAGAUGCCAAAUGUCAUUGAACAAAGGCAAUUGCAUGCUCAUUUGGAAGGAGCGGAGGGUGAAAGUAAAUGGCAGCUCCAGUGCUUUGUGAUUUUUGCAACUGCCUUCUUUAAUCCUGUUUCCAAUUGAACAGCCUGCUUUAGGUCAGCAGAGUCCUUAGGUUCACAGAGACCUUGUGGGCUCUGUAUCAUGAGCCGGGCUUUGAUCCCCGGGUUCCCUUUUCUGAAGAAUCUGGCGUAACCCCACUGGUAUGGUCUCUUCCAAUGGGAGGAGAAGACCAACUUUAUUUUUAAUCUGUGCAUGUCUGGCCUCUGUCUCAGGGAGUGACAUCACCUCUCAGCAUGAACUUGAACUAAUGGAGGAGGUCAGGAAGAAUGUCAAGCAUCAUCCUUUCCUGAAUCCCACCCCAUCCCCAAAAUGAGCUUUUUAUGAGGUAAAUGAUUUGCUUAUUAGGUAAAGUAAACAGAGACACCAUGUCAAGUUAAAAUGGAACAAGUUUAGAUGCAGAGUGACACUGCACAAACAGCCAGGGCUUGCAAUGUGGCAAGUCCGCUCCAGUGGUGCCCAAACUGUUCAGCCCUAGAGCGCAGAAAGGCUAAGACUGGGAGACAGGAAGGCAUCUGAUUGCAACAUAACUUCACUUUUUAAGCUCUGGAAAUCAGACUCUGAUGAAGAGCUGAAAGUCUCCAGGUGAAUUCUGUCUUUCUAACCACAAUGAAACUGAGGCUCAGGGAAGUUUAGAUGCUUGGCCAAGGUCCUAGAAUAAUUAGCAUCUGAGCCAAGUCUUAUAGCCAGGCUUCUUUGUUAUUAUUGGGGGAGGGGGUUGCUGAAGGCGUCUACCUUUAAGCUUUACAAGGAAAACUCAUCCAUGAUCACAGGAAACAAUCAAAAGUGCUGGGCACAUAGCAGAUGCUCAAGAAAUAGGAGUUCCCAUUGUGGCUCUGUGGUGAUGAACACAACUAGUGUCCAUGAGGAUGCAGGUUUGAUCCCUGGCCUCCAUCAGUGAGUUAAGGAUCUGGCAUUGCCGUGAGCUGUGGUGUAGGUUGCAGAUGCAGCUCGGAUCUGGUGUUGCUGUGGCUGUGGUGUAGGCUGGCAGCUGCAGCUCCAGUUUGACCUCUAGCCUGGGAACCUCCAUAUGCCACAGGCGUGGCCCUAAAGAGGAAAAAAAAAAAGACCAAAAAAAAAAAAUGCAGGUAACUUAGAACAGAAGUAUGGGCUGAUGAAAAAGAGCAAAAGACAUUUUAAAGAGAAAAGGCAUGGAUGGAGCUCAUUCGCCUUCCAAUGCCACUGUAUAGAGCUAGAAAUCAUUACAUGGACAAGAAGGCAGGGCCGUACAAACUGUUUAGGCUCAGGGAGUGACCUGUUUUGAUUAGAGCUUCCGAUGAAGAAGGGUAGAAAUUUGAAGUGAAAGAGUGAGGUCACAUCGGAGAUGACUUAGAAGCUGGGUCUGAGGCUUUGAAUUCCAGGGAAGGGAAGGCAGGACGUGGUGGCAGGAGGGUUUGAACUAGAGGUGGCAGAUGAGAGGGUCAACUCUUGUUCUAGAAGUCCACCUCCUGUGUGAUGGCUUAUUUGCAAAGUGAGGAUAUGGGACUUUCCCUGGAAAAUCCUCCUGAAGAUUAAACGCCAUAGCAUGGGUAAAAAUUACUCUUUGUGAAAUGAGUGGUAAGAAUUUGGCAAAUGAUUGGUCCUAUUUUUAUAAAGGGUAAGAGGAUAGAGUCUACGAACUGCAGCACAAUCCACGUGGUGGUGCUUCUGGGUGAGAUUCUAGAGAUUGAGAACUUGGUUCAUGAGCAUGAAACAAAGACGCUGUCACUGCCAGGAGCCAGCGUGGGUUCCCUGAGACCUCUUCCUAUAGGUGCAAUCUCAUUGCUUUGGUUGUGAGGCUUGCCUAUCUCAACCAGAAAAUGCAGCAGAGGUGGCGUGUCUGGAUUUCAGGGAGACAGCGUGCAAGAUUCUUCUUUCUAACGGGCUGAGGAACAAGAUCGAAGGGGGCAAACAGGACAAGGCAUGGGCUGGCUU